Molecule: long non-coding RNA, 879 nt
Filed under: Felis catus (domestic cat)
Lineage: Eukaryota; Metazoa; Chordata; Mammalia; Carnivora; Felidae
Description: lncRNA (ENSFCAG00000004998.5)
Source: RNAcentral
UAUAUCUAAUUUCCUAAGCAGAAAUGAUAUAGGGAAUUUUUUUUUAUUAUUAAAAAAAAGUAUGAGAGCUCUUUCUGCCUAGGUGAUCACCUCCUGCUUUAAUUUUGGGAUUAGCAGCCUAAAAUUAAUACUUAAAGAUAAUAAAUAAAAACACAAAAUUUUAAAAAUAAAGAAAAAUCUAAAAAACAUUUAAAUUAAAUUAAAUUAAAUUAAAUUAAAUCAAAUUAAAUUAAAUCAAAUUAAAUUAAAUUAAUUUUAUCUUGGCACAGAGCAAGCGGGAAGUUACUUAGCAAGGUUCCGGGUUUCCCCACGCCCCGCCCGGCCUACCACAGCUAAAUGGUUUUCGUCCUUGGGGUGCUCUGUCCUGCGGAAAGCAAUCCGUGUCCAUCUGUCCCAGCUCUGCCCGCCCGCCUCGCAUCUACCCUUCUCUUCUGACUCCGCCCCACAUCUGUCCGGAACCGCCUCCCGCUGAAGCUGACCCAGUGCGCGUCCGCCAGUCAGUCCCUCCGGACCUGCCGCGAGUCUCAGACUGCCGAAAUUACCGCGCGUCACUCGCCUUUUUCAGCUUUUCAAAACAGUCACUGUACAAACUUCAAAUGUGCCCAGGAGAAGAAAAUUAAGAACAUUGCUUUGUGAUUGUAAACCAUCAUAUUAAAAGUUAUUCUGGUGAGACUAUUCUGUACAAAAAACUUCAUAUACUGUUGCCUUUCUGGUUGUAUCUAUGAUUAAGGGUACAAACAAAAUGUUACAUGUUAAGUGAUAUUUUCAGUACAGGGGAAAAUGUAAGAAUACUAUGUGUUUAAGGGAAUAUUUAGGAAUGGUGUGAAUGCCAUCCUACCUAUAAAUAAAUGGCUUUAUUUAAGGAAAUAGUUUAAAAUG